Olea europaea var. sylvestris is the source of this 290-nucleotide long non-coding RNA. RefSeq lists it as uncharacterized. The record is from RefSeq and is a predicted model, not a curated record. NCBI's taxonomy places the organism in Eukaryota, Viridiplantae, Streptophyta, Magnoliopsida, Lamiales, Oleaceae. The transcript is spliced from 4 exons.
CUUAAGUUCUAUAAAUUGCAUCCUUCAAAAAAUGGGUUUAUAAAUACGAGUGAUUUUCACUUCCAGAAGGCCAUUAUUUUUCCAGCAUGAAGAAACUUCUGCAAUAUGUAUCAUUUGGCCGCGAGCAGCGUUAUUAAAAUCCAUUUUCUCAUUUGCUCCCACGUCUAUCGUGUUUUCAGCAAUCUGCAAUAGUACAAUGAGCGAAGCCUAUUGUCUUCUAUGAGCUCCUUUUCCUGCCCAAAAAGACACCAGGUGAGCUUGGAACUACAUAGAGAGCACGGCUAGCUGUG